This is a long non-coding RNA of Photinus pyralis (common eastern firefly), 704 nucleotides long. RefSeq lists it as uncharacterized. The transcript is spliced from 4 exons. NCBI's taxonomy places the organism in Eukaryota, Metazoa, Arthropoda, Insecta, Coleoptera, Lampyridae. The record is from RefSeq and is a predicted model, not a curated record.
GAGUCUGGUAAAAUAUAUUCCUUUAUACUUCACGGCAAACCUAGAAUUAUUUUAAAUAUAUGAAGUUGCCUAAUAUAUGCACGUUUAUAAUGUCUUUAAAAUAUUUGUACUUAAUUUUGGAACACUGUAUGCUAUGGCUUUUACGAAUCUGCUUUUAUAGGUACCGUACAAGCUGCCACUAAUUCGUACGGUUAUACGUUAGAUAAAAUAUAUGAACUACUUGUAAGUACGAACUUAUAUGUAAAAGGUAUAUCAGCACGACUAGAGAAAAUGGAAAAUUCAAGAAAAAUUGAGAGUGUCAAUAAUCAUGAUGCACUGAAAGAUUUAAGAAAAAUGUUGCCCUUAAGCAGCACAGAUGAUAUAAAUCAAUUUGAAAUAUUUCUUGGGGAUGAUGAACAAAAGAAAAUUUUUACAAAUUUUAUAUCCUCUAUAGGAGGUAGGAAUGUGAAAGAUAAUAUUCACAGAUGUUUGAAAUCAAUAUUCUCUAAUGAAGCUGCUACCAAAUGUUCGUGGCUAGGCCAACGAGGCAAUUUUCGCGUUUGUGAUCUAUCUUCAAUAACUGUCCUAAAAGAUCAGAUCCAAGUCAACUAUAAUAUAACAUUAAAAGAGUUUGAAGUCAUUGGUAGCGAAUGGUUCCGUUUGUCAAAAUUAAGGUUAAAACCAGAUAAACGCAACCCUGAUUCUUCUAAUGUCGUCAACUAGUA